RNAcentral lists this ribosomal RNA (505 nucleotides) under uncultured bacterium. RNAcentral's name for it is "bacterial SSU rRNA". It matches the Rfam family "Bacterial small subunit ribosomal RNA", at positions 32 to 513 of the family's 1533-position model. The record is from RNAcentral.
AAUCAACGCUGGCGGCGUGCCUCAGACAUGCAAGUCGAACGCGAAAGUCUCCUUCGGGGGACAAGUAGAGUGGCGCACGGGUGAGUAACACGUAGGUAAUCUACCUUCGGAUGGGGAAUAACAACCGGAAACGGUUGCUAAUACCGCAUAAUGCAGCGGCACCUAAUGGUGACAGUUGUUAAAGCGGGGGAUCGAAAGACCUCGCGUCUGAAGAGGAGCCUGCGGCGGAUUAGCUAGNGGUAAGGUAAUGGCUUACCAAGGCUACGAUCCGUAACCGGCCUGAGAGGGCGGUCGGUCACACUGACACUGACAUACGGGUCAGACUCCUACGGGAGGCAGCAGUCGGGAAUUUUGGGCAAUGGGCGAAAGCCUGACCCAGCAACGCCGCGUGAAGGAUGAAAUCCCUCGGGAUGUAAACUUCGCAAGAACGGGAAGAAUAAGCGAGAGUAAAUAUCUUUCGCGAUGACGGUACCGUUUGUAAGCUCCGGCUAACUCCGUGCCAGCA